AAGGACGUCGUUGCUGGCUGGCCCGGUGUGACGACACAAAUAGCGACCCUCCCCUGUUGCAUCUGGGUUCAGUUUCCGCCAGGCAAACAUGACCGCCUUGGCUACUGCUCUGGAGCUGUUCAUGUCGUUACACCGGCGCUGAAGGCUCCGGACUAGUCUCGGGGCGGGCGGCUUCGCCAUGGAGGAGUACUGCGGGUUCCGCGUGUCAGCCGUGUGCCUGGACGAGCCCCCCAACAGCCGCGUGUUCCUGGUGCUGGGGAAGGACACGGGGGAGGCGCUGAUCCGGGAGCGCUUCGCCCCGUUCGGGGAGAUCCAGGACAUCUGGCUGGUGCGGGACAAGCGCACCCACGAGUCCCGCGGCAUCGCCUUCGUCAAGUUCGCCCGCAGCUCGCAAGCCUGCCGGGCCAUGGAGGAGAUGCACGGCCGGAGCCUGGCGCCCGACACCAAGGCCAUCAAGGUGUUCAUUGCCCAGUCCAGAGCUUCCGGAAGCCACCGAGAUGUUGAAGAUGAAGAGCUUACACGCAUCUUUGUUAAGAUACCAAAGUCCUAUACAGAGGAAGAUCUGAGGAAUAAGUUUAAGGUGUAUGGAGACAUUGAAUAUUGUAGCAUUAUUAAGAAGAAGACCACAGGAGAAAGUAAAGGUUUGGGCUAUGUGAGGUAUUUAAAACCAUCCCAAGCUGCCCUUGCAAUAGAAGAGUGUGAUCGAAGUUACAGGGCCAUUUUGGCUGAACCUAAAAACAAGCCGUCUGAAUCCUCUGAAUGUGACUAUUACAGUAGUAGCAGUAGUAUGAGGCAGGAGCCAAUGGGGCAUGAACCUAGAGGGAGUGUGUUUCCCUUCGAAGGGCAGCCAGAAUUUGGUAGUUUUGAAAAGAGUCAGACGAGAGUUCGAGAAUCCGUUUCCAAACGCCUGUCAGUGGUAUCGCGACUCCCCUUCGAACAAGAGCGGCUGUUCUUCCUCUUUGAUCUAGUCCCAGGACUGGAGUAUUGUGAUGUUCAGCAAGAUCCGCAUACUAACCAUGGGCAUGCUGUGAUUCAGUAUACUACUGCAGCAUCAGCUAUAUAUGCCAAAUACAAGCUACAUGGUUUUGAAUAUCCUCCUGGAAAUCGUCUAGGUGUUGCUUUCCUUGAAGAUGGGAGCAACGGACUGGACCACAUCAGAAAAAUGGCAACACAGCUGGUGACUUCACAGGUGUCAUCAAUGGUGUCACAUAAUAAUCUAGUUGGUCAGCAAUAUACAUCUUCUCAACCUUGCAGUGGAAGUUCUAGUUCUCCGUUAUCUCAGCCCCAAACAGAUGCUGUACUUCCAUCACGCAAAAAAAAGGUUCCACCUGAGACUUCUAUGAAGGAAAGGCUUUUCAUAGUGUUUUAUCCUCGUCCCUUACCUGUAAAUGUGUUGGAGGAUGUAUUCUGUCGGUUUGGACAUCUUAUAGAAGUUUACCUUGUGUUAGGAAAAAAUGUGGGCUAUGCUAAGUUUGCAGACAGAACAAGUGCUAGCGAUGCCAUAACUGCAUUACAUGGCAAGAUUGUGAAUGGUGUCAGGCUUAAAGUAAUGUUGGCAGAUUCCCCUGCAGAAGAAUCUAACAAACGUCAAAGAACUUACUGACCUCAUGGGGCAUCUGAGCAGGAGGAUUAGAACAGAUAUUACAGGGAUUACAAAAACAUGGUGGAAUAGCACUCAUGACUGGAAUAUAGCUAUUGAAUGGUCAGAGUUUGGGAAAUUUAAGAGAGUUAGUUAAAGAAGUCAACUGGACUAAAGAGCUCAAGAACUUAAAUGUGGAAGAGGCUUGGAAUUUCUUCAAAUCAACUAUCUGAAAUUUUAAUCCCAAGCAAAGGAAAAAAAUCUUGUAUGCAAAGGCACCAGCCCAAGCUGGAUGAAUAACCAGCUCAAAAAGGGAUAAGGGAAGUGCCAUAAAUUGGUGUACUUGAACUUCAGUAAAACAUUUCACAUGGUGCCACAUGGGAAUUUAUUGGAAGAUGGGGUGCAGUACAAGAAUUGUAAGGUGGAUAGGUACAGUAACUCCUCACUUAACGUUGUAGUUAUGUUCCUGAAAAAUGUGACUUUAAGCGAAACGAUGUCAAGCUAAUCCAAUUUCCUCAUAAGAAUUAAUGUAAAUGAGGGAAAAGACACACAC
This is a non-coding RNA of Chrysemys picta bellii (western painted turtle), 2132 nucleotides long. The record is from RefSeq and is a predicted model, not a curated record. Lineage: Eukaryota; Metazoa; Chordata; Testudines; Emydidae.